GUCCAAGGAGGGACAUACACCCACAUGCACUGGCCACUCCUCUCCAUGCUACCACACUCCUGCUUAGAGCUGCACAGCAUCACAAAGCAAGCGCCCAGCAGCCCAGCGUGCGCUUUGCAGGAGCCGCCCUCCCUCUCCUCCCGCAGGGUCUCAAAGGCCGUUCUGAAUGUUUGACUCCCCUGCCUCAGCCGUGAAGUACUGAUGUUACAGGCAGGCACUACCACGCUCAGUGUCUCUGCUGCUGGGGCUGAGGUACCCCAGCAAGACAGCCCUAAAAUGCUAAAACUCAAGUUGCCUUUUAUUCUAUAGCCAGUGAAAAUCAGUUUAAAAAUGAAGGCGACAUCAAGCACUGGGAGUUGUAAAGCGGAGAGGCCUGGAUCCUAGCAGGUCCCCAGCCAUGGGCACGCUAAUGAAGCCCCCAGGCCCCGGGACUGCCCCAGCAAGAGCCCGGAUGAGAGAGAAGGAAGCACACGAGAAGAGCAAGUACGCAGGAAACUAUCUAAGACUACUCUCUGCUAAAAUUCUUCAAAGCAAGGCCACUGUGUGUGUGUGCAUGGUUUGCAGAUGAAUCUGUCUGUGUGCCAGAGGCCGAUGCAGGGAGGCCUCUGCCUUAUCUGUGCAGCCAGAGCUGUUCCCCGAGCUCACAUUUGUGUUUGGUUGGCCUGUGACCUCCUAGGAUCCCUUCCUUCUACGUGGUGUGGAGGAUCUCAGGUCAGGUCAGGCUUGUCACAGGCCCUUUUCCAUGGAGGCCAUUUUUAAGACUUUCAGAGACUUUAAAGUUUGCUGUGAUUCUGUAAUUUUCAUAAAUCUAAAGUAAAUGUAAGACACUCAAAGUUCUGAUAACCCAUGGAAAAUUAUUUCAGUGCUUUAAAAUUUUAAUUAAAAAAAAUGUUUCUCUGAACUUUGGAUGCCUGUCACUAGUGUCAAACUGCACACAGAGCUUAAAAAUUUCUACUUUAUCAUUAACAUUGCCAGAGCAAGACAUAGCAACUCCAUUUUGGUAAGUUUCACACUAGUGCUUAAACACACAGGCAAUCCAACCAGCACCAGCAGGCUUCCAGCCAAAAUCUGUCUCCUGGGGUUUUUUGGCCUGAAACCUCCCAGUGCUGAAACUGGGCAAACUGUGAUGACACUGGCUCUCCUAACUGGGACCCAGACUGAAGUCCUAAGGACAGAAGUGGCCCCAAGGGCAGCUGUGCUAUAGGCACGCCAAGGAAAGGCAAGAACUACAUAAAGCUCAUCUUCCUGAAACUCAGGGUGCCCUUUAAGGGAAGGGAGAUUCUCAUCUCUUCCUUCUCCCUCACUGUGUCUAGAAAAGACCAAGACAGUCUGUCCUGGGGGAGGAACCACGUCGCAAAGGCACAAAUACAGAAACAGGAACAUCGUUUUGGCUGGCAGUUUUGUCACAGUGGCUUGUGGAAUUCUUCCUGAGGAGCAUGACUCGCUGACCCUUCACCCACUUGGCUGGCCCAGAGGGUGGCAGGGCGAUGGACUCACUGUGCCUACUUAAUUCUCACCCUUACCCGUUAACCACCCAUUAUUAGCUUGGCGUUACUUAGAACAAAACUGAGACUCAGUAAGGUCAAGCCACAGGCCUAAGAUCCUUUGCUUACUCACUAGCAGGCCCAGUGUUUAGUUCCAUGGGUGCUGUAUUUCAAGCUCAUGCUCAGUACCCGGGCACAGCCCCCAAAGCCUAGUGCAAACGUCUUACAUGUGUGUGCCCUGUCAGAAGAGGUAAAGGACAGAGGUGAAGCAGAGGCAGAAUCAGACAGGAUCCAGGGGCAGCAUUUCUGCCUCUGGAAGCAAUCUAGGGAGACAGGUAGGACCUCAGAUCAAACUAUCCUCCAAACAUGUUUUGGAAACACACUGGGGAGGCUGGAGAGGGGGUUAGAAAGCCAGUGAAUGGUUCAGAUGUCUCAAGGUUUCUCUUGAGAACCAUCAGAAGGCCCAGGGCAGGAGUUUUAUGACACCUGGAGGCCCAGUCUCAUAAGUAAAGCAAAGCAAAGCAAAACAAACACACACACACACACGAGCAAUCUCUUAACUCCCUGAGGGUCUUCAUGUGUAGAUACACUAAUGCCUUGAGGAUGUGGACAGGAAGCUCCGAGCCUCAGUUGCUCUGAGCCUGCAUAGUUGUGGUUUCAAAAUUGUGUUUCCCCAAAAGUCUCAUGUGCUGGAGGUUGGAGUCCCUUGCUGGUAGCACGAUUUUGGUAGAUUCUGAAAGUUUCAGGAGGAGGGGCCUGGCUUGAGGGAGUAAAUGAGCCUUGGGUUACAUUCAGCUCACUGGUCCUUUCCUGUUUACCUGCUUCUGACUGCUGUAAAGUGGGCAGCUUCCGACACAUCGGUGCAGCCAAGGACUACGGACUCUACAGACUGCAAUCUCUGAAGUAAGCCUUUUCUCCUUUAAGCUGCUUCUGUCUGGUAGCCUGCCACAGCGCCAACUCUGACGUACGCGUUUACUACAUGGAGACAAUCACCUGGCUAUCCCAUCCAGUUGCUCGGAGUUAAAACAGUCUGACUGUGUAUGGUACUUAGAAUAAUGUCUAAGUGAAGGAAGCAUUGAACAGGAGCAAUCAACAGUGAACAGCAAACACAUUUUGUUUAUAACCUAUAUUUGUCUCUGAAAAAAGGUUUUGAGAGCUCUGAGACGCCUGCUCUGUCACCUACACACCAGUCCCUGGCUCCUUUCUCUACUACACUCGUGAUGCUCUCUUUCAUUUAAACGUGGCACUCUACAUAUUUGUUCUAAAUUAGGUCAUGCCCUCCCCAGAGGGCAUCCAAUGAGGUAAAGCAUUCAAGUGACCCCGAGGACAUGGCAAUGUAGUCUGGGGUAGGGUCACCAGUAUGGCUGGUCCUUGAACAGCCAGCUCCUUCUCUCUUUUUAAAGGAUGAGCUCGCAUAGUCAUCAUGGUCCCCUAGGGAUGCACCUCUUAUUUGUGGUGUCCUCUGCUGUGGGUCCCCACUUGCUUGGCUGUAGACUCUUGCUCCUAUGCUUCUGUGUUGCUUUCCCUUCCAUGCCAGUCUUAGCUGACAAGGCUCUGGCUGUCCUCAUGUUGUCCAGGCUCUUUGCCCAGUGAGGGACCCACAGGAUAUUUUCCAGGCAAGCAUAAAGGGUAACCACUAGAGCAUCUUCUCCAGGGAUUGCCCAGAGCAGCCUUUGUGCUGCAUGCUUUUAGGGAAGAGAUGCUGAUGUACGAAGAAGGAGACCAGUGGCUGCUCUUACCUGGUCAGUUGUGGCUGCUGGUGGCAAACCUGGAGAGUGUGAGAUCAUACGGAGAGAGGCCUCCAGUUGUUGGGGAGGCAAAAAGAAGUUGGGCACCACAACAGGUUCUGGGCUGCAAUGGUAGUUAAGGAAUAAAAUACCUAGAAGUCUACUCUCCUACCAGACCAACACCCCAGGGACCACAGUCAUACCAUCUGUGUCUCCCUCAUCCUACUCCCCCCAUCCAUGAAUCCCUGGCACAAGUGGUUCCUCCUGGUUCCUCCCUCACUGGAAAACCCUGCCCACUUCUAACCCGUCUUUCCUCCUUCCUUUCCCUCUCUUUCUUUAGUCUCUACUGUAAUGAGUUCACAUCCCAACCUCCUCCAGGAAGACUUUUCCUAUCUUAGUCACAUAGUCCCCCUUUCUUUAAUUCUGAAAGCAGUCUGUGACACAGGAGAAUGUUCAAUUAUUAAAACAUUUUUUCAAAUUAUC
Molecule: long non-coding RNA, 3694 nt
Filed under: Mus caroli (Ryukyu mouse)
Lineage: Eukaryota; Metazoa; Chordata; Mammalia; Rodentia; Muridae
Description: lncRNA (MGP_CAROLIEiJ_G0006597.1)
Source: RNAcentral